AGGGCACCACCAGGAGUGGAGCCUGCGGCUUAAUUUGACUCAACACGGGAAAACUCACCCGGCCCGGACACCGUAAGGGUUGACAGAUUGAGAGCUCUUUCUUAAUUCGGUAGGUGGUGGUGCAUGGCCGUCCUUAGUUGGUGGAGCGAUUUGUCUGGUUAAUUCCGAUAACGAACGAGACUCUGGCCUAUUAAAUAGACGGCGUAUCGAAACGUACGUCGAGCUUCUUAGAGGGACAAGCGGCGUCUAGCCGCAUGAAAUAGAGCAAUAACAGGUCUGUGAUGCCCUUAGAUGUCCGGGGCUGCACGCGCGCUACACUGAAAGAAUCAGCGUGCGCGUACGCCUGGUUCGGAAGGACCGGGUAACCCGAUGAAAUUCUUUCGUGCUUGGGAUAGGGAAUUGCAAUUAUUUCCCUUGAACGAGGAAUUCCCAGUAAAUGCGGGUCAUAAGCUCGCGUUGAUUACGUCCCUGCCCUUUGUACACACCGCCCGUCGCUACUACCGAUUGGAUGACUUAGUG
This 519-nucleotide ribosomal RNA is filed under the name uncultured eukaryote. RNAcentral describes it as "SSU rRNA". It matches the Rfam family "Eukaryotic small subunit ribosomal RNA", at positions 1161 to 1703 of the family's 1831-position model. The record is from RNAcentral.